This 901-nucleotide ribosomal RNA is filed under the name uncultured Megasphaera sp. Its description in RNAcentral is "bacterial SSU rRNA". It matches the Rfam family "Bacterial small subunit ribosomal RNA", at positions 28 to 896 of the family's 1533-position model. The record is from RNAcentral. Lineage: Bacteria; Bacillati; Bacillota; Negativicutes; Veillonellales; Veillonellaceae.
GACGAACGCUGGCGGCGUGCUUAACACAUGCAAGUCGAACGAGAGGACAUGGGAAGCUUGCUUCCUAUGAAAUCGAGUGGCAAACGGGUGAGUAACGCGUAAACAACCUGCCCUUCGGAUGGGGAUAACAGCCGGAAACGGCUGCUAAUACCGAAUACGAUCUUUCCGUCGCAUGACGGAAAGAAGAAAGGAUGGCCUCUAUACAAAGCUAUCGCCGAAGGAGGGGUUUGCGUCUGAUUAGCUGGUUGGAGGGGUAACGGCCCAACAAGGCGAUGAUCAGUAGCCGGUCUGAGAGGAUGAACGGCCACAUUGGGACUGAGAUACGGCCCAGACUCCUACGGGAGGCAGCAGUGGGGAAUCUUCCGCAAUGGACGAAAGUCUGACGGAGCAACGCCGCGUGAGUGAAGAAGGUCUUCGGAUUGUAAGGCUCUGUUAUACGGGACGAAAAAGACGGAUGCCAACAGUAUCCGUCCGUGACGGUACCGUAAGAGAAAGCCACGGCUAACUACGUGCCAGCAGCCGCGGUAAUACGUAGGUGGCAAGCGUUGUCCGGAAUUAUUGGGCGUAAAGGGCGCGCAGGCGGUUCGGUAAGUCUGUCUUAAAAGUGCGGGGCUUAACCCCGUGAGGGGACGGAAACUGUCGAACUUGAGCGUCGGAGAGGAAAGCGGAAUUCCUAGUGUAGCGGUGAAAUGCGUAGAUAUUAGGAGGAACACCGGUGGCGAAAGCGGCUUUCUGGACGACAACUGACGCUGAGGCGCGAAAGCGUGGGGAGCAAACAGGAUUAGAUACCCUGGUAGUCCACGCCGUAAACGAUGGAUACUAGGUGUAGGAGGUAUCGACCCCUUCUGUGCCGUAGUUAACGCUAUAAGUAUCCCGCCUGGGGAGUACGGCCGCAAGGUUG